This 2171-nucleotide long non-coding RNA is filed under the name Homo sapiens (human). Its description in RNAcentral is "HSALNT0177715". Lineage: Eukaryota; Metazoa; Chordata; Mammalia; Primates; Hominidae. The record is from RNAcentral.
CAGUGCAUCCCCUUCGUCCCCACCUAGCUGGGAGUGACUCAGCUGGGUGACUUGUCAACUCCAUGUAAAAUCUCAGGCCCAGCCCCUGGGAGGGGUUCCAGUUCCAUCUCUGGCAUUUCAUUAAAGUUGGGACCAUCUUUCUCCGGCUUUUUGCAGCCAGGCUCAAAUCAGAUAAACUCCUUUGUUCUUCGUGGAACUGACAAGCAGUUAAAACCCCAUUAUUAUGCUAUAAUUUCAGAAAAUGGAUCCAAGUGAAUAGCUAAAUAGGGCUCAAGGCUGCUUAAUGAGACAUCUUAUUUGAGGCUUUCAAAUGUCAGAAAUUCCAGACAGCAGCAAGCUGAAGUCUCUGGGACCAACGUGUCAGCUCCAGGAAAGCUGGACCCCACGGUGCAGUGGAAGCAAAGAUUAAAACAGCAGGCUGGAGGAGCAGAAAUGUGAACAGCUGGAGGCCGGAAAAGAAAGGACACAAGCGGAGAAGAAACACCAGAGGAAAAAUAAUCCCUUAGAGGGUAAAGAACAAAUAAUUGAAUAAGGGAUUAAAAAACACACAAGGAGAGAUCCCUGAGGAGGGAGGCCCAGUUCUGUGGACCCAGGAAUUACUGGACGUUUGGAGAGUCCCACAAAAGUGGGUGCCUUUGGAGUCCGCUGUAGAGAAGAACACCAGCCAGGGGUUCUCAGACGGCUGUGCCCUCCCAGAUCCUAAGGGCCCCACUCUGUUCCCCCAGGCUGGAGUGCAGUGGUGAGACCAUGGCUCACUGUGGCCUCGACCUCCCGGGCUCAAGGGAUCCUCCAACCUUAGCCUCCCAAUGUGUUGGCAUUACAGGCAUGCGCCAUCGCACCAGGCAAAACUGGACUCUUGUUCUGAAGUCAUGUGGGGGAACUGGGCCCCUGAGCGAGGCGAGGCUGUCUCAGGUCUGGGCCUUCUUUUCCGAGCUCCCUGACGUCUGACAUACCCUUGGUGAACAGCAGAAGGCACAUCGGAUCUACAUUCAGAUGCCUGCCUAUGCUGUGGGAUGCAAUCCUCCCUUAUGGAACAGUUCCUGCAGAAUUUCUCGGGGCCGUGCAGAUAAGGGAAGCAGGCAGCCUUAGGAAGCUGGGCAGGUGGAACCUACUGUACAGCCCACGAGCGCCAGCCUGCACUGAGGCCACUAGCAUUCGCAUCUCACCUCCCGGGAGCACCAGCCUGCACCGAGGCCUCUAGCAUUCAUGUCUCACUUCCUGCAAGCACCAGCCUGCACCGAAGCCUCUAGCGUUCACGUCUCACCUCCUGGGAGCACCAGACUGCACCGAGGCCUCUAGCGUUCAUGUCUCACUUCCCGCAAGCACCAGCCUGCACCGAGGCCUCUAGUGUUCACGUCUCACCUCCUGGGAGCACCAGCCUGUACCGAGGCCUCUAGCAUUCAUGUCUCACCUCCCGCAAGUGCCAGCCUGCACCGAGGCCUCUAGCGUUCACGUCUCACCUCCUGGGAGCACCAGCCUGUACCGAGGCCUCUAGCAUUCAUGUCUCACCUCCCGCAAGUGCCAGCCUGCACCGAGGCCUCUAGCGUUCACGUCUCACCUCCUGGGAGCACCAGCCUGUACCGAGGCCUCUAGCAUUCACGUCUCACCUCCCGCAAGUGCCAGCCUGCACCGAAGUCUGGCAUUCACGCUCACCUCCCGCAAGCACCAGCCUGCACCGAGGCCUCUGGCAUCCAUGUCUCACCUCCCGCAAGUACCAGCCUGCACCGAAGCCUAGCAUUCAUGCUCACCUCCCGCGAACACCAGCCAGCACUGAGGCCUCUGGCAUCCAUGUCUCACCUCCCGCAAGUACCAGCCUACACUGAAGCCCCUAGCAUUCAUGCCUCACCUCCCGGCCACACAAGGAAACAGAAAACUUUCUUGUCACUAAUGACCAACAGUGAAAAAGAACAAGCCAACCAUAACAACUUUUAAAGAAUGAAAAUGGUCAGAUGUUUCUUUUAUGCCUUUCUCUUAACAAUAAAACAUAGCCUAGCACAGAUGGGCCUGAGAAGGACUCCCAGACUCCUAGAUGGCUUCGAACCAUGUCCUUUCCUCCUGACGGCUCGUGGCUUGGCGUGAGGUUUCAUGUGUACAGGAAUUGGUGUGAGAGGCCAGUGUCCCAAUGAAUUGUGCAGCUGGGAUGGCAGGAGAGGGCUCCUCUGUGUACUGCG